GGGUUGUGAGGUUAAGCGACUAAGCGUACACGGUGGAUGCCCUGGCAGUCAGAGGCGAUGAAGGACGUGCUAAUCUGCGAAAAGCGUCGGUAAGGUGAUAUGAACCGUUAUAACCGGCGAUGUCCGAAUGGGGAAACCCAGUGUGAUUCGUCACACUAUCGUUAACUGAAUACAUAGGUUAACGAGGCGAACCGGGGGAACUGAAACAUCUAAGUACCCCGAGGAAAAGAAAUCAACCGAGAUUCCCCCAGUAGCGGCGAGCGAACGGGGAGCAGCCCAGAGUCUGAAUCAGCUUGUGUGUUAGUGGAACGGUCUGGAAAGUCCGACGGUACAGGGUGAUAGUCCCGUACACCAAAAUGCACAGGCUGUGAACUCGAAGAGUAGGGCGGGACACGUGGUAUCCUGUCUGAAUAUGGGGGGACCAUCCUCCAAGGCUAAAUACUCCUGACUGACCGAUAGUGAACCAGUACCGUGAGGGAAAGGCGAAAAGAACCCCGGCGAGGGGAGUGAAAAAGAACCUGAAACCGUGUACGUACAAGCAGUGGGAGCACCUUCGGGUGUGACUGCGUACCUUUUGUAUAAUGGGUCAGCGACUUAUAUUCUGUAGCAAGGUUAACCGUAUAGGGGAGCCGCAGGGAAACCGAGUCUUAACUGGGCGUUAAGUUGCAGGGUAUAGACCCGAAACCCGGUGAUCUAGCCAUGGGCAGGUUGAAGGUUGGGUAACACUAACUGGAGGACCGAACCGACUAAUGUUGAAAAAUUAGCGGAUGACUUGUGGCUGGGGGUGAAAGGCCAAUCAAACCGGGAGAUAGCUGGUUCUCCCCGAAAGCUAUUUAGGUAGCGCCUCGUGAAUUCAUCUUCGGGGGUAGAGCACUGUUUCGGCUAGGGGGUCAUCCCGACUUACCAACCCGAUGCAAACUACGAAUACCGAAGAAUGUUAUCACGGGAGACACACGGCGGGUGCUAACGUCCGUCGUGAAGAGGGAAACAACCCAGACCGCCAGCUAAGGUCCCAAAGUCAUGGUUAAGUGGGAAACGAUGUGGGAAGGCACAGACAGCCAGGAUGUUGGCUUAGAAGCAGCCAUCAUUUAAAGAAAGCGUAAUAGCUCACUGGUCGAGUCGGCCUGCGCGGAAGAUGUAACGGGGCUAAACCAUGCACCGAAGCUGCGGCAGCGACACUAUGUGUUGUUGGGUAGGGGAGCGUUCUGUAAGCCUGCGAAGGUGACCUGUGAGGGUUGCUGGAGGUAUCAGAAGUGCGAAUGCUGACAUAAGUAACGAUAAAGCGGGUGAAAAGCCCGCUCGCCGGAAGACCAAGGGUUCCUGUCCAACGUUAAUCGGGGCAGGGUGAGUCGACCCCUAAGGCGAGGCCGAAAGGCGUAGUCGAUGGGAAACAGGUUAAUAUUCCUGUACUUGGUGUUACUGCGAAGGGGGGACGGAGAAGGCUAUGUUAGCCGGGCGACGGUUGUCCCGGUUUAAGCAUGUAGGCUG
RNAcentral lists this ribosomal RNA (1488 nucleotides) under Klebsiella pneumoniae. RNAcentral's name for it is "partial 23S ribosomal RNA". It matches the Rfam family "Bacterial large subunit ribosomal RNA", at positions 1 to 1527 of the family's 2925-position model. Lineage: Bacteria; Pseudomonadati; Pseudomonadota; Gammaproteobacteria; Enterobacterales; Enterobacteriaceae. The record is from RNAcentral.